CGCGCAGGCGGCCUUUUAAGUUGGAUGUGAAAGCCUACGGCUCAACCGUAGAACUGCAUCCAAAACUACUAGACUAGAGUCUGGGAGGGGAAGAUGGAAUUAGUUGUGUAGGGGUAAAAUCCGUAGAGAUAACUAGGAAUACCAAAAGCGAAGGCAAUCUUCUGGAACAGUACUGACGCUGAGGCGCGAAAGCGUGGGGAGCAAACA
RNAcentral lists this ribosomal RNA (207 nucleotides) under uncultured bacterium. Its description in RNAcentral is "partial 16S ribosomal RNA". It matches the Rfam family "Bacterial small subunit ribosomal RNA", at positions 568 to 774 of the family's 1533-position model. The record is from RNAcentral.